AUUGAACGCUGGCGGCAUGCCUUACACAUGCAAGUCGAACGGCAGCACGGGGCAACCUGGUGGCGAGUGGCGAACGGGUGAGUAGUGCAUCGGAACGUGCCAUUGAGCGGGGGAUAACGUAGCGAAAGUUGCGCUAAUACCGCAUAUUCUGUGAGCAGGAAAGCAGGGGACCGCAAGGCCUUGCGCUCUUUGAGCGGCCGAUGUCAGAUUAGCUAGUUGGUGAGGUAACGGCUUACCAAGGCGACGAUCUGUAGCGGGUCUGAGAGGAUGAUCCGCCACACUGGAACUGAGACACGGUCCAGACUCCUACGGGAGGCAGCAGUGGGGAAUUUUGGACAAUGGGCGCAAGCCUGAUCCAGCCAUGCCGCGUGAGUGAAGAAGGCCUGGU
This 388-nucleotide ribosomal RNA is filed under the name uncultured bacterium. RNAcentral describes it as "bacterial SSU rRNA". It matches the Rfam family "Bacterial small subunit ribosomal RNA", at positions 30 to 420 of the family's 1533-position model. The record is from RNAcentral.